Molecule: non-coding RNA, 629 nt
Organism: Pygocentrus nattereri (red-bellied piranha)
Lineage: Eukaryota; Metazoa; Chordata; Actinopteri; Characiformes; Serrasalmidae
Source: the annotation of a RefSeq genome assembly
AUGAUGUAUCUGUGCUCUCUGACUGUCUUUAUGAUUAUGAUAGAGAGCUGUGUUUCACAGUCAAUAGGACCACUGGACAACAAAGUGCUGAUUCAUGCUCUUGAAGAUGAGACAGUUACUCUCUCCUGCAAGUAUGAAUAUAGUGCUACUCCUAAUAGUCUGCAGUGGUAUCGUCAGUAUACUGGAUCCAGACCAGAGUACUUACUGCUGAAAUAUGCAGGAUCAGCUGAUGUGACCCGUGCAGAUCCUACUUUCUUACGCCUGGAUGCUACAGACAAUAACAACAAAUGGAAUCUCUCAAUCUCCUCUGCUGCAGUAUCAGACUCUGCACUCUACUACUGUGCCAUGCAGCCCACAGUGACAGGAAACCCAGCUACACUGUACAAAAACUCAUUGCAGGAUGCCUUGUGUGUUGGGAAUGUACCAGAAGAGGGCAGCUUUAGUCUAGAUUUGCUGGAGUGAAGUGAGUUAUUCAUUAAAAGAUGCUGAAAUGAGGGACCAAGUAAAACAGCCAUGAGAGGAAAUCUCAUGUUCAGUUCAGUUGUGGGUCUUCUUAGAUCAUCUGUAGCUUCUGGAUUUGAAUUUGUGGCUCUCCUUUAAAAUGAGUGGCACUUUAUAUUUCAUAUGAA